AUGACAUCCAUUUGUGAAUUAUUGACAAAAAAGCACACUAUUCCGUCAGGAACAACAGAAACCAUUGCUAAUAGCCUUCCAUAGUUCCUUGCAACACCCGAAUCACUUCUCAUAUCAUACUUUGUACUAACUAAAGUUGAUCACUAAAACAAACAUACAAACCAUACAUGUCAAUAGCAAAAAAGGCAUCUAUAAACUUCACACAACAUUCAAUCAGAAACUCAAAUACGAAAAUAAGAUAAAAAUCCAAGAGUAAACCUUCACCUUCCAUGGGUUAGGACCAUUGGACAUAUGUAGUCCCUUGUCAAGGACAUAGUAAAACUUCGACUUACUAAAGGGUUGAAAUUCAGAAGGCGUGGGUACAGAUCUAUAGGGCUCAGAGUUCCAGAGGUAAUUACAACUGUUUGGAAGCGUUCAAAUACAUGCCUAAUAGCAAGUGAAGCAUCAUGACAACUCAGCUGAAUAUUCAAUUUCAAAGCACAAACACUUAUUAUAAUGAGAAAUUAAUACAAUAAAAUCUAAAAGAAAUAAUGAUACAAUAGGUAAGUAAGUAUAUAUAAAAAAAGAAACACCUGACAAAAAUUUGGGAUGCCAAACAAUAACAAAAACAAAGGGCGAAUUCUCUGUUUCUCUUAAUGAUUAACCAACUUCAUUUAUCAUGGGGGCAAUUUCAUCAUUUUACCCGUAAUUACACAUUAUAUGGACUCUGACUUAGAAAACUUGGUGACAGUUAUACAACAUGGGUAUAACAGAUUACUUGACGGAGUUAAAUUCCACAUGUUACUGUAAUUUGGAAUUACCCUCCUUUUGUCUGAAUAUUGGAAAGAGAGCAGAUUAAAAAAAGAACAUAGGGCUGAACUGAUUUGCUAUUCGAAGUUGGACUUGCUGCCGAGUUCGAGUUUAAUAGCUGGUAGUUUGACGAAUAUUGUGGAGUCGACAACAUUGACGAAGGAUCCUGUAAAUGUCUUCUGAAGUUAAGUGUAAGCGCAGAAGAACAAUUUGUGAGAAAAAUGAGGAGAGCACCCUGUGCCAUGUUAGCUUAUUAGUGGUAUAAUUUAGAUUGGAGAAGUAUAUUCAAGGUGCAUUUGCUCAAACUGUGUAGGUUGGCUUAGUUGAGGAGGAGGGAUAUACAUUGAAGAAAAGGGUAUUAGUAAGUCAAUCAAAUUUAUUCUCUACUAUUGUUUAUGGUGCUGUUAAGAUAUUGUUGUCCAUGGGAUUGCAAGAAGCAUCGAAAGCCAAGGAGAAAACAAUAAUCUUGUACCCGACAAUUUUUAAGGUUGAUAGUUUAACUUACGGUGGAGGUGUCAAAGCUAGAUAAGAGGUUGUGAAGGAACAUUCAAAGAGGAUUAGGAGGCCUCCCAACAUGAGUUGCCGGAUUGAGUCAUUUGGUCGGAUUUGUGGGAAAUUUGAUGAUAGGAGAAAACGUUGGGUGUAUGAGAUGGGAUUUGGUGGUCUAUUACAUCUUUCAUGUGAUAUGCAAUUAUCGACGCAGUUGGCGUAUUGGUUGAUGACACGUAUAGAUCCGAUAAGUAAAAUGUUCAUAACCCUAGACGGUGUUGAGUUUAGGUUUUCUAAGAAACAAGUUCGAUGGGUUUUAGGGAUACCAAUGGGUUUAAAGAGUGUUCCUUCGACUAAAACCAUGGCUCAUGAGGAUCGUGAAAAGGUUCAGAGAAAUUUAUUGAAGUAUGGGAAGUCUUGGGAGUCCUCUGGACAAUGUGGUCGUGUUUACACGUCGGUUGGGAUACCAUUGAAUUCUGAAAUGACGGAUCAAUUAGAGGGGUAAUUUGAUCCGGAAAAGGAAGAAGAAUUCAAGACGCUUUUCUUGAUAGUUUAUUUAGAGAUGGUGUUUUGCCCUACACAACCACCCCGUCUUGCGGCUGAUUUGUUACCUGCGAUUUGCUGUGCUACGGAGGCAAUUGAGUAUGACUGGUGUGGUUUAGUGUUGUCUAUUCCUGGGGAGUGUUUCUAGUUUUGCCCGACGUUUAUAUGCUCAUGGGUUUGUGAGUGGAUGUGGCAGGUGUGCUAUAUUUGCCGUUAUUUUUUACCUAGACUGUUUGGCUAGGGAUCCUGUCGAUUGGGAAUCAUUCCCCAGAUUGAAGGUAUGGAAUAUGCAGCAGAUUCGAAAUGCAUUGAAGUUGUUAGUGACCGGGGACUAUGGGAGGUUAGGGGUAUUGGAUGUUGCCUAUGGAGAACAGCACCCAAUGGAGGCACGGUAUAGUGUAGCAGCCAAGGAUGAUUUCGAUGUAAGUGUUGUAGAUGAAACCAAUUGCUACUAUUGUGAUUGUUGUGCUGAUGCAUUAUGGGUGAAAUAUUGUUUUUGUUUAGUUGCAAAGAUGGUAGCAGGGCCUGCUAUCUCCAAGUCCAAGGUUAAGGAUAAGAGAGGAAGGAACUUGAAGUUAAAAGAAAAUAUCUACAAAUAGUGUUACCAUAUGAGUUUAGACUUGACUUAUAAGCAUUUUUUUAUAUUUACUGUUGUAUAAUUCUAGAAAAACAUUUAUCUGUAUUCAUGAUCUUCUGAUAUUUUAUUUUUUGAUGAGCA
Long non-coding RNA from Chenopodium quinoa (quinoa), 2539 nucleotides. RefSeq lists it as uncharacterized. Lineage: Eukaryota; Viridiplantae; Streptophyta; Magnoliopsida; Caryophyllales; Amaranthaceae. The record is from RefSeq and is a predicted model, not a curated record. The transcript has 6 exons.